CCCACAACAGGUAUUUAUGUUAACAUCCAUAUAAACAGUAAAAUGUAAAACUUGAAAUUGAAAUAAUAAAUAAUAAUAAAUGGCUAGGUUGCAGGACAACGCUAUAACAAUACAGUGAGUGCAUUAUUACCACCAUAUUUUUCCAAUUACAAUUUCAUAGAUUCAUAAUUGGGCUUAAACUAUGUAAGGAUUUGAAGAACCAGCUUGAGAGAAUAAUAAAAGAAAUACAAAACAUAUUAAUGGUGUCUUUAUUUGGCUAAUAGGCCAGGGAAACAGUGAUUUGACAACAAUCAUGAAGUGGUAUAAAACAUGUGAUAGAUUUGUUAUGGAUUGCAGCUGUGAUUACCAUAAGAAUCUUUCAGAAUCUUAUGUAUUCGUAUUUCAUGUAAGUGCACUUGGUGAAUAGGAUUGUGAAAUUAUUUGUGUCCUAUGCAUCUCCACCAUGGGUCUUUGGGCCAAAUUGAGAAAUUCUAUUUAAACCUAUUCCUGGACAUUAAAUAGUUAUCCGUAAAUUAUCCCUUUUAUUCCAGUAAUAGGUUUAACCUGGAUCCAGGAACCUGUCCCAUAUUGCAGUGAUUGUUAUGAAAUUAACCUUUCAGAAAAUGUGUAACUGAACACUCCCCUCUCAGGUGCUUCAGACAGCAGUGAGUUAAGUCAGGAAAGAUUAAAUUAAUUCUUCCAGUUCUGGUUCUUAUUAUGCUGCUCACCUUAUCAGGAACUCAACUAAGCACCAUACCAGAAUCCUUACACGCAGGAAGGAACACACUAGCUGGGCUUGCACCUCAAGUAAGCUUAUUAGUUGUCAAGCCAACCAUAUUCUAUUGUGCUGGGCAAUUGCUCUGUGGGAUCAGUCAGGGUGUUUUGUAAAAGCACUUUGUGACAACUCUACAUGUGAAAAGGGCUUUAUAAAUACAUUUGAUUGAUUUGAAUUUGAUUGACCCCGGGGCUGGUCAAUAAGCAGGAUUCAAACCCUAGCAAUGAUGUAGCAAAAUGAGACUGUAACUUGAUAGUUGCACAUUGACCCAAACUAAUGUUCAAAGAUCCAUAGCUCAUUUUAAAACAAUAUUACAUGUUAUCACUGAGACAAAAAUACAAGUUUGUUUAUUGAGAAUUCAGUGUGUAUAAAAACUAUUAAACAAAAAAUAAUACAAAUGUUGUUUUUUAAUACUUAUCUUAAAGACUCAAUCAAGGAACCACUUGUAUUAAAAGUUUUAAAAAAGAGCAAUAAAUAAACACAAUUAUGAAUAAAUAAAUAUUAUAAAUUCUGCCCAUUCAGUGUUACACACAGCAGCACUGAAAUGCUGGUGUGUAUAACACAACACAACACAACAAUUUAGCCAUACAGAUCAGGUUGUUGUGUUUUAUCAUCAAAACAUGAUUUCUUGUCACUUGGGGAUAAUUGAAUGUAUACAAGACUGAAUAAUUCUAAUAAUAGAUGGCAUGUUUUUUAUAUUACUGAAGUAGAUGUAUUCACAGCAUGUUCUCUCCCUCUUCUUCCCGCUCUUUUCUGCAACAGCAACAGCAGUAGUGGCAAAGCCAUCGUAACACUCUGCUGAAUCUAGGUGGAGCCACUUCGGCUCCUACUACGCUAAUCUGAGCAUCUUCUUUUACUCUGUGCUCCGCUGAUGGACCCUGGAGCUCCAUUAAUGAACUGGAAUAUGUCAUGUCCACUGUUGUCUCCUCUGUUACUUGACUUAUUUUUGUUAUCAUACUGUCCUCCUCUAUUAUUGAUUCCUCCAUCAACCAUAGUCGCUCCUCUGUGGUUAAUCUGACUUCGGUUUGGUUACCUUUGUCACUUGUUUUGACUGUUUCUGUCUUUUUUUCCAUAUCAACCUGCAGUCUCUCAAUCUCUGUGAGCAUCUCCACUUUUAGUAUUUGAAGCUCCAGUUUUUUCGGCUGAUCUUCACUCAUACCUCUCUCCCACUCUUUUAGAAGAGCUUGGCUACCUCUAUGCAACUCCACCUUCACCUCCUCAAACUUUUCUUUCUCUCUUGGUAUCCUUGUUUUCUUUACCAACUCAUGGUUCUGAAUCACUACAAGUCUUUCCUGCAGAUGUUCUUUCAUUUCAUAAACUCUGUGCUUCAUCUUCUCAAUCUCUUCCCUUUCUGUCUGUACCUCUUGAUGGAUCUUUUCCAAAUACUCUCUGUUCGGGAUCCCAGUAUGUGUAGCUGUGGUUGUCUGUUUAAGCAAGUUCUCACAUUCUACACUUAGUUGAGUGGUGUCUAUGACUUGACUCUGCACAGUUUUCAGUUCUAGCUCCACUGCCCUCUUCAUUUGCAGAUCCGUCAUUUGGCCUAUGUGUCUGAGCUCCUCUUUGGCAAUCUGUAUCUCACCUCUGAUCUGUUGCAGUGCAUUCUUGCCUCUUUGUAUUUCCACCAUGUUAUUUUCAAUCUCUUUUUUCUGUUUGUCUACAACAGUCAAAAGGGAGUGUUCUUCUUCAUUAGAAAUCUUUUGUUUCAACUGUCGAGAUUCCUCAAUUUCAAGUUCUCCCUGCAUCUCCCCAGAAAAUGUUUGUGUUUCAGAAUUCACCAGCUCCACAGUUUUGUCUGUUUUUUUCAUCUCUUCUGAAUGCAUUUGUGUCGUAGCAUUUACAUAGCUCCUUUUGUCUUCAAGUUUGGACUCUUGCGUUACCAGGUUGACCUCCUCCUGCAUGUCCCCAGUUUCUUGUUUUAUCUCUGCCAUUGGCCUUAUAUCUUUAUUGUCAUCCAUCUGUGUGCUGCAUAAUACAUAAAUUGUCUCUUGCUCUAGUAUUAUUUCAGCAUUAAUACAUUGUUCUUCCUCUUUCCGUACAGCCAUCCACUUUUCCGCUUCAUCUUUUCCAGUUUCUAUCUCAGCUCUUCUCCUUUCCAGCUCAUCCAUAUCACCUGCCAUUUUUGUCUUGGCCAUGUCAAUUUCUCGCCUCUCUCUUUCCAUGUCAUCCUUUAAUUGUUCCAGUUCACACUUCUCUUUUGCUAGCAAGUCUUUUUUGUUAUCUGUUUCUUGGCGUUCUUUCUCCAGCUCAGUUUUCAUGAAUUCCAGUUUCUCUGUCUGUCUGUUGUAAUCUUUUCUCAGCCUUUCAUGUUCCUCCUUUUCCAUCUGUAUUUGUAUUGCUUGUUUCUCAACCUCCUCUUUCUUCCACUUGGUUUCCUCUGUAAGUUUUUGUAGAUUUUCUGAUUGGGAUUGAAUUGCCACCUUGUUCUUUUCCAGGUCAUUCUUUUCAUUUUGUAGCCUCAGUUUUUCUUGAUCAAAUUCCUCCCUUUCGUUUUCUAGCUCUUUCUUUUUUGUAUUGAGCUCAUCUGUUUUUCUUUCAAUGUCUUGUCUCUGUAGUUGUAUUUCUGUGUUGAUUUGUUCCAGUUGUUCUUUCAGCUUGCUGAUUUCCUCCUUCAUUCUUUGUUCUUCCUCGGUCAGUUCUGCCAUCCUCUUUUCCGCUUCAUCUUUUCCAGUUUCUAUUUCAGCUCUUCUCCUUUCCAGCUCAUCCAUAUCACCUGCCAUUUUUGUCUUGGCGUUGUCAAUUUCUCGCCUCUCUCUUUCCAUUUCAACCUUUAAUUGUUCCAGUUCACACUUCUCUUUUGCUAGCAUACCUCUUAUGUUUUCUGUUUCUUGGCGUUCUUUCUCCAGCUCAGUUUUCAUGAAUUCCAGUUUCUCUGUCUGUCUGUUGUAAUCUUUUAUCAGCCUUUCAUGUUCCUCCUUUUCCAUCUGUAUUUGGAUUGCUUGUUUCUCAACCUCCUCUUUCUUCCACUUGGUUUCCUCUGAAAGUUUUUCUAGAUUUUCUGAUUGGGAUUGAAUUGCCACCUUGUUCUUUUCCAGUUUCUCUGUCUGUCUGUUGUAAUCUUUUAUCAGCCUUUCAUGUUCCUCCUUUUCCAUCUGUAUUUGUAUUGCUUGUUUCUCAACCUCCUCUUUCUUCCACUUGGUUUCCUCUGUAAGUUUUUCUAGAUUUUCUGAUUGGGAUUGAAUUGCCACCUUGUUCUUUUCCAGGUCAUUCUUUUCAUUUUGUAGCCUCAGUUUUUCUUGAUCAAAUUCCUCCCUUUCGUUUUCUAGCUCUUUCUUUUUUGUAUUGAGCUCAUCUGUUUUUCUUUCAAUGUCUUGUCUCUGUAGUUGUAUUACUGUGUUGAUUUGUUCCAGUUGUUCUUUCUGCUUGCUGAUUUCCUCCUUCAUACUUUGUUCUUCCUCGGUCAGUUCUGCCAUCCACUUUUUCGCUUCAUCUUUUCCAGUUUCUAUUUCAGCUCUUCUCCUUUCCAGCUCAUCCAUAUCCCCUGACAUUUUUGUCUUGGCGUUGUCAAUAUCUCGCCUCUCUCUUUCCAUUUCAUCCUUUAAUUGUUCCAGUUCACACUUCUCUUUUGCUAGCAAACCUCUUUUGUUUUCUGUUUCUUGGCGUUCUUUCUCCAGCUCAGUUUUCAUGAAUUCCAGUUUCUCUGUCUGUCUGUUGUAAUCUUUUAUCAGCCUUUCAUGUUCCUCCUUUUCCAUCUGUAUUUGGAUUGCUUGUUUCUCAACCUCCUCUUUCUUCCACUUGGUUUCCUCUGUAAGUUUUUCUAGAUUUUCUGAUUGGGAUUGAAUUGCCACCUUGUUCUUUUCCAGGUCAUUCUUUUCAUUUUGUAGCCUCAGUUUUUCUUGAUCAAAUUCCUCCCUUUCGUUUUCUAGCUCUUUCUUUUUUAUAUUGAGCUCUUCUAUUUUACUUUCAAUGUCUUGUCUCUGUUGUUGUAUUACUGUGUUGAUUUGUUCUAGUUGUUCUUUCUGCUUGCUGAUUUCCUCCUUCAUACUUUGUUCUUCCUCGGUCAGUUCUGUCAUCCACUUUUUCGCUUCAUCUUUUCCAGUUUCUAUCUCAGCCCUUCUCCUUUCCAGCUCAUCCAUAUCACCUGCCAUUUUUGUCUUGGCCAUGUCAAUAUCUCGCCUCUCUCUUUCCAUGUCAUCCUUUAAUUGUUCCAGUUCACACUUCUCUUUUGCUAGCAAACCUCUUAUGUUAUCUGUUUCUUGGCGUUCUUUCUCCAGCUCAGUUUUCAUGAAUUCCAGUUUCUCUGUCUGUCUGUUGUAAUCUUUUAUCAGCCUUUCAUGUUCCUCCUUUUCCAUCUGUAUUUGGAUUGCUUGUUUCUCAACUUUUUCUUUCUCCUUCUGUCUUUCCUGAAUACAUUUUUCUAGGUUUUUACUUUGGGUUAAUAUCACCACCUUUUCCUUUUCCAGUUCAUUCUGUUCUUUUAUAAUGAUCUCCUUUUGUUGAUCAAUUUUUUCUUUUAGGGUUUGCAUUUCUUUUUUUUGAUUGUUUGUCUCUCUUAUACAUUUUUCCAACUCAUUCUUUUUGACAUUUACUUCCUUCAUCUGGCUCUUAAGGUCUUCUCUCUCCCGUUGUAUUUCAGUUUUCAAGUGUUCUAGGUUGUCUUUCAUCUUGUAGUCAUCUUCUUUCAAACAUUGCUCUUCUUCUUUCAACUCUGGCUUCCACUUGUCUGUUUCAUGUUCGCCUCUUUCUGUUUGAGCCUUUUUUUCUUCUAACUGCUUUAUUUCAAUCACUAUGUUUUCUUUGGCUAUGUCAAUUUCUUCUCUCUCCUUUUUCAUAUCAGCCGUCAUUUGUUUAAUUAUCAGUUUUUCUCUUAUUUGGUCUUCCAUAAGGUUUUGUAUUGCCAUUCUCUCACUCUGAAUCUCAGACUUAAUUUGCAUAAGCUUAUUUUUCUCCUCAGCUAUCAAUCUUUUUUCAUUCUCCAUCUCUUCUUUCUCUCUUCUAAUCUCACUAUUUAGCAACUUUAAAUGUUUAAUUUUUGUGUUACUCUGUACAAUGACCUUUUCACUUUCCUCCCUUUGCUUUUUAAUUUUUGCUGUCAUUUCUUUUUCUAAUAAAGCCUUUUCAUUCAAUGUUAUUGUUUUUAUUUCAUCCAAUUGUGUUUUCUGCUUAUCCAUUUCAUUUUUUUCUUUUUCUAAUUCUAACAUUUCAGUAUGUAUUUUUUCCAUUUGUGUGUCAAUUUCUUCUUUUUGACUUUUAAGCUUUUCAGUAAUUUUUUCAUUAUAUUGCGUUUCCAUGUUUGUCUUGUUCGUAAUAGCGUUCAACUCCUUUUGACGAUUCUGUAAUUCCACUUCAAACUGUAAAAGCUUAUCCUUUUCUUUUUUUAAGUUUUGUUUGUCUUGCAUUAUUUGCUCCCUUUCUCUUGUGAUUUCCGACAUUUGUUCUAACUCAAAAUCUUUUUGUGUUUCUGUUAUAGUUUUUUCUGUAUAUGUUGUCCUUUCAAGACCUCUUUUCAGAAUUUCCAGUUCUACUCUUUCCUUUUUCGGCUUCCCCCUCAAAUGAUCAUAAUCUUCAUCUCUUUGUGUUUUCUUCUCUUGGAUUCCAGGCCUACUCUUUGACAGAUCCCAUUUUGUUAGAUCAAUUAUGGAAUACAUUUUUCUACUUUCUUGAUCAGUGCUCAUUUGUUCCAGGUGUUCCUGCUCUUCCUUUUGGCUUUCCUUGUGAGAUUCCAUCUCCUCUCUCUGUUGCUGUAUUUUACUCUUGAUGUGUUCCAGUUCCUCUCUUCCCUUUUUUAGUUCAUCAUGACUCUUGUCAAUGUCUCUUUUUUGUCUUUCAAUUUUCUCGUUCAAGAGUUCAAGCUCUUUUUGAUUUUGUUUAGUCUCUUCCAUAACAUACUCAGAUUCUUCUUGUUCUUGUUUUUGAAUUUUGACAUCUGUUUCUUCGUCUUUCUGUAUGUGAAUCUGUGCUUUUAAAUAUUCCAUCAUGACCUAAGCAAAAAUAAAUUUGAGAUUAUGUUCUAACCUUUCAG
Long non-coding RNA from Esox lucius (northern pike), 6713 nucleotides. Lineage: Eukaryota; Metazoa; Chordata; Actinopteri; Esociformes; Esocidae. The record is from Ensembl.